Non-coding RNA from Myotis davidii, 329 nucleotides. NCBI's taxonomy places the organism in Eukaryota, Metazoa, Chordata, Mammalia, Chiroptera, Vespertilionidae. The record is from Rfam.
GCCACAUGAUGAUAUCAAGGCUUUGGUGAUUCAGUUGGUUUGGCUAAGCCCAGGGACCUUUGACCUAUUAGGUCUGUAAUCUUGGUGGGCAAUACAGAGUUACGUGUGUUCACUGUAAGGGCAGACCAACAAGAAAUUCUUCCUGCUUUUGAACUAUCUCUCUUUCAUGGAGAUAUUUCUUCCCAGCUGCCAGAAAGAAAUUGUGGUAACUGGAGUGAGUAGGGAGGGACAAGGCAUGUUCAUGGUAUCAGGGUCAAGGGUCCCAAAGGACUUAGCUGGUGUUGUGGCCACUGAGAAAUGAAACACAGAUCUUUGGUAAUCUGAUGGCU